GGAAGGGGCCGUGGCUUAAUGGUAGAGAAUUUGCUUAGCAUGUAGAAAAUCCUAGGUUGAAUCCCUGGCAUCUUCCA
Molecule: transfer RNA, 77 nt
Filed under: Sphaerodactylus townsendi
Lineage: Eukaryota; Metazoa; Chordata; Lepidosauria; Squamata; Sphaerodactylidae
Description: tRNA-Ala
Rfam family: tRNA
About the family: Transfer RNA (tRNA) molecules are approximately 80 nucleotides in length.
Source: RNAcentral